Molecule: transfer RNA, 70 nt
Filed under: Dryocoetes villosus
Lineage: Eukaryota; Metazoa; Arthropoda; Insecta; Coleoptera; Curculionidae
Description: tRNA-Lys
Source: RNAcentral
CACUAGAUAGCUAAAAGCUAGCAAUGGUCUCUUAAACCACUCCAUAGUAGUUUAGCGCCUACUUCUAAUG